AUGCUUACUUCGGCAACACAUAUACUAAAAUUGGGACAAUACGGAGAUUAGCAUGGCUCAUGUGCAAGGAUGACACGGAAAUUCAUGAAGAGUUCCAUAUUUUU
This 104-nucleotide small nuclear RNA is filed under the name Microcebus murinus (gray mouse lemur). The record is from RNAcentral. Lineage: Eukaryota; Metazoa; Chordata; Mammalia; Primates; Cheirogaleidae.